CUCUCCAGAAAAAAGUGAUGCAUGACAGGUCUGAAGUUCUCACAAAUUUCCUGGAAUGCUUUACGCUUGUCCUUUUCAUUUGAUAUAUGCUCUCUGCAUUUGAGAAAUGACCAGUCUCCAAUUCCAUACCGACCAUGGGCACCACCAUUUCUUGUGCUUGCUAUAAGAUAUUCCCCAAGAGGAAGAGUGCCAUUAACCCAUUCAAGAACGCCAGCACUUGGAGUAAAAGGAAUUACCUUGUACGUACGCACUCCUAAUCUUCUCUUCCAUGUAUCUCUAUUAUUCUGUAAAAAGGUGUUAACCAGACCAAAAAAUUGUUCCAUAACAGCAUCUUGUCUAAGGUCAUCAUUUCCAGAUUUUGCUAGCUGUCGAUAUUUUCUACCAUC
RNAcentral lists this unclassified non-coding RNA (386 nucleotides) under Hevea brasiliensis (rubber tree). Lineage: Eukaryota; Viridiplantae; Streptophyta; Magnoliopsida; Malpighiales; Euphorbiaceae. The record is from RNAcentral.